ACUAGGCCCUCUCGGAUGCCAUUUGUUUCACUACGACUCCUUUCAACUGCACACCCCUCUUCCCCCGCGAGAUAAGGGCUAAUAAAACGCUUGAGGUGGCGUUUUGAGGACAUGGCAUGAAGACGAACCGCCGACGGGGAGUAGGUGGUAACGAAGGGGAGAUGAGGGCCAACAGCAACCGCUUUGGUUUCUCUGAACGUUCCGAGGGCCUUUCUCAGAAACGAUCUGCAGUACCCUCUGGUGGACAACGCAGAGAAUAGUACCUUGGUGGCUGACUGAAAGUCCCCAGGCCUAGAGCAGAUCCUAUGGAACCUAAGCAAUUAUGGUUCUACAUUGUCUGCAUUGGAUGGCAUAAACAACAUUGGUGGAAAGCAGCGAGAAGGUCUGCCAGAUGGGAGUUUGCCAAGUUGAAGAUGUAUUUGAGAGAAGUUGGCCUGGUCGGAUGGAAAGAGAGCGGCUACUUCAUGCUUGAUAGUACGGAGAAAGCGUUUGGAGUAACCGCGGGGCCUAAGGGCCUCAAAAAGGGUCCUAGUAGCCUCCACUACAUGUAAAGAAGACUAUGGUGUCCAAAAAGGGGACCUGCUGGAGAUGAAGAGUAUGUUUAAGUGUGAUACGGGGGUGGUGUGAACUAAGAAUGUGAAUAAAGUGAUUUAAUUCUGUCUCGGAUUUAUCCCAUAAGCCAAAAAUGUCAUCAAGGUACCGAUAAUAUAGGAGCGGGCGUGACGGGCAUUUGAGAAGAGCUGAUUCUUCCCAGUCAGCCAAAUAGAUGUCUGCAUAGGCCGGUGAAUAUUUUCUACCCAUAGCGCAACCGCUUAUUUGGAGGAAAAAAGAUUUAUCAAACAGAAAAUCGUUCUGGGUAAGGGUAAGCUGUAAAAAUUGUAAAAUAAAAUAAUCAGGACGAGAUAAAACGGGUGAUGAUUCCAAGGCUUUUUUUUUAACAGCCUCCAAGCCAAGAGAAGUAUCGAUAUUGGUAUAGAGAGAAAAUAAACAUUUAACCGUCCCCAUUUAACCGUCGGGGACGGUUAAAUGUUUCAGUUUAUUUACAAAUGUAUACGUAUCUUUGACGUAACUCGGGUGUGAAUGGGACAGGGGAUUUAUAUAAUAAUCAAAAAAUUCUGCCAGGCGAUAAGAAUCCGAACCACAGUCGCUCACAAUGGGACGACCCGGAGGGACCAGAUAUGGUACAGUCCAGCUCUCUGGGGCCUUAUGUUUAUGAUAAAAUGA
This is a long non-coding RNA of Gadus chalcogrammus (walleye pollock), 1224 nucleotides long. RefSeq lists it as uncharacterized. The record is from RefSeq and is a predicted model, not a curated record. The transcript is spliced from 5 exons. Lineage: Eukaryota; Metazoa; Chordata; Actinopteri; Gadiformes; Gadidae.